UUUUUGUGUAUAUUUCCACGUAUAUACUGUAUAUCAACGUAGAAAUCAGCAUAUUAACUCUCCAUAUUUCAUUGUACACUGUAUGGUGGUAUGCAGCUACGACUUUCAGUGUAUAAAUGCUGUAUAUCAACGUAUACCAGCCUGUAUAUGUGUGUUAUCCUGUGCACAUCAGUCCAAUUUUGGACUUUAAUGAGGCUCGACUUGACAGCGUUCAAAUGCAAGGAUAUGAGGAGUCCCAUUGGACUCAUCCGGAAGAGUUCAUG
Molecule: long non-coding RNA, 263 nt
Filed under: Capsicum annuum
Lineage: Eukaryota; Viridiplantae; Streptophyta; Magnoliopsida; Solanales; Solanaceae
Description: long non-coding RNA (CANN_LNC008888)
Source: RNAcentral